CCCUUAGAUGUCCUGGGCCGCCCGCGCGUUACACUGAUGCAUUCAACGAGCUUAUAACCUUGGCCGAGAGGCCUGGGCAAUCUUGUUAACGUGCAUCGUGAUAGGGAUAGAUUAUUGAAAUUAUUAAUCUUGAACGAGGAAUUCCUAGUAAACGCAGAUCAUCAAUCUGCAUUGAUUACGUCCCUGCCCUUUGUACACACCGCCCGUCGCACCUACCGAUUGGAUGGUCCGGUGAAGCCUCGGGAUUGUGGUUCUUGCCGCUUUAUUGUAGCGUGACCGCGAGAACUUGUCUAAACCUUAUCAUCUAGAGGAAGGUGAAGUCGUAACA
Molecule: ribosomal RNA, 328 nt
Filed under: uncultured eukaryote
Lineage: Eukaryota
Description: partial 18S ribosomal RNA
Rfam family: Eukaryotic small subunit ribosomal RNA
Source: RNAcentral